CGGCAAGUUCAGGCAUGAUGAGCUUUUUCACAAUUCUGAGGCAGAAAAUUUAGAAAGCUGCUUUUAAAAUUUUUUUAGCAUAAAUUAAGGUUUAAUAUUACAUCCAAACAUAAAAAUUUACUUUGGAUUACAUGUAAAGUUAGUCCUGUAACCUUCCAGUGCUGAGAGCCAAGCAGGGACACUCAUGGGGCCGAGGGGGUGUCCCCAAGAGCACCCCACACAGGGCCCCCGGGAGGGGCUCACAGAAAGGCGGGCCAGACGGAGCGUGGUGAGAAUCAGAAGCCUGGUCCCUGGAGCAUUGGCCAGGCUGGGACGGAGAGAAGACUGGAGAUGCAUGAUGGGAAGCCAGUUACCGGCCUGUUGGUCGGUGGACACCUAUCUAGUAACCACUGUCUCCCAGGCACUGGGCUGCAUACAGGGGUACAGUAGUGAGCAACUCCUUUCCCUUGGGUGUUUACAUCCUGGGAUAGGAAAGGGGAAAGCCGAAAAAUACCACACGGACCACGCACAUCCACGCCCCGACAGACACACUGACGAUGGCGGGUUGGCAGCGUGCCCCAAGAACGCUGGCACUCAUGGAGUAGAAAGCGCACUCACUGGAGGCGAUGAGAGGAGGCACGGAGGCCGCUUCGGGGCCCUGCUUUCUCAGCCCCUCACGGCCGGACCAAUAAGCUGA
RNAcentral lists this long non-coding RNA (676 nucleotides) under Fukomys damarensis (Damara mole-rat). Its description in RNAcentral is "lncRNA (ENSFDAG00000031799.1)". Lineage: Eukaryota; Metazoa; Chordata; Mammalia; Rodentia; Bathyergidae. The record is from RNAcentral.